RNAcentral lists this ribosomal RNA (550 nucleotides) under uncultured bacterium. Its description in RNAcentral is "bacterial SSU rRNA". It matches the Rfam family "Bacterial small subunit ribosomal RNA", at positions 355 to 896 of the family's 1533-position model. The record is from RNAcentral.
UAGGGAAUCUUCNNNAAUGGACGCAAGUCUGACGGAGCAACGCCGCGUGAGUGAAGAAGGUUUUCGGAUCGUAAAACUCUGUUGUUAGAGAAGAACAAGUGCUAGGGUAACUGUUAGCGCCUUGACGGUAUCUAACCAGAAAGCCACGGCUAACUACGUGCCAGCAGCCGCGGUAAUACGUAGGUGGCAAGCGUUGUCCGGAUUUAUUGGGCGUAAAGCGAGCGCAGGCGGUUCCUUAAGUCUGAUGUGAAAGCCCCCGGCUCAACCGGGGAGGGUCAUUGGAAACUGGGGAACUUGAGUGCAGAAGAGGAGAGUGGAAUUCCAUGUGUAGCGGUGAAAUGCGUAGAUAUAUGGAGGAACACCAGUGGCGAAGGCGACUCUCUGGUCUGUAACUGACGCUGAGGCUCGAAAGCGUGGGUAGCAAACAGGAUUAGAUACCCUGGUAGUCCACGCCGUAAACGAUGAGUGCUAAGUGUUGGAGGGUUUCCGCCCUUCAGUGCUGCAGUUAACGCAUUAAGCACUCCGCCUGGGGAGUACGACCGCAAGGUUG